CUCCUGCUCCAAUGCCAGCAUCUUGGGCCACCCAUUUGGCAGUUACCACAUCAAUGUGGUUACCAACCAGUCCAAUAUCGGAGCGGUUUUUCCACAGUGCCUUCAGAGCCUUCCUGGCAACAUCCUCAAACACUGGGUCACCAGUAAGGUGGCUUAAAGUGGCAAAUUCCACUAUAAAAGUACCAAUCCCAGCAGUACAGGUAACUGGGGUCUCCCCAGGGUUCACUCCAUGCAACAAGUUCACUGUUCCAUAGGGCAUCCCAGUGGGAGUCUGAAAAGCUGGCAGCAGUUUGCGAGCUGCUUCCUCUGCCAGUCUCAGGAGAGGUCCAGAGCACGGCCAUCCC
This 344-nucleotide long non-coding RNA is filed under the name Gallus gallus (chicken). The record is from RNAcentral. Lineage: Eukaryota; Metazoa; Chordata; Aves; Galliformes; Phasianidae.